AGUCGAGCGGAGUUUUGUUGAAAGCUUGCUUUCACAGGAUUUAGCGGCGGACGGGUGAGUAACACGUAGGCAACCUGCCCCUUAGUCUGGGAUAACUACCGGAAACGGUAGCUAAUACCGGAUAAUUCCUUUCCCCUCCUGGGGAGAGGAUGAAAGACGGAGCAAUCUGUCGCUGAGGGAUGGGCCUGCGGCGCAUUAGCUAGUUGGUGAGGUAACGGCUCACCAAGGCGACGAUGCGUAGCCGACCUGAGAGGGUGAACGGCCACACUGGGACUGAGACACGGCCCAGACUCCUACGGGAGGCAGCAGUAGGGAAUCUUCCGCAAUGGGCGCAAGCCUGACGGAGCAAUGCCGCGUGAGUGAUGAAGGUUUUCGGAUCGUAAAGCUCUGUUGCCAGGGAAGAACGUCUUAUAGAGUAACUGCUAUAAGAGUGACGGUACCUGAGAAGAAAGCCCCGGCUAACUACGUGCCAGCAGCCGCGGUAAUACGUAGGGGGCAAGCGUUGUCCGGAAUUAUUGGGCGUAAAGCGCGCGCAGGCGGCUAUUUAAGUCUGGUGUUUAAACCUUGGGCUCAACCUGAGGUCGCACUGGAAACUGGGUGGCUUGAGUACAGAAGAGGAAAGUGGAAUUCCACGUGUAGCGGUGAAAUGCGUAGAUAUGUGGAGGAACACCAGUGGCGAAGGCGACUUUCUGGGCUGUAACUGACGCUGAGGCGCGAAAGCGUGGGGAGCAAACAGGAUUAGAUACCCUGGUAGUCCACGCCGUAAACGAUGAGUGCUAGGUGUUAGGGGU
This 791-nucleotide ribosomal RNA is filed under the name uncultured microorganism. RNAcentral's name for it is "bacterial SSU rRNA". It matches the Rfam family "Bacterial small subunit ribosomal RNA", at positions 60 to 830 of the family's 1533-position model. The record is from RNAcentral.